Molecule: long non-coding RNA, 4982 nt
Filed under: Lathyrus oleraceus (garden pea)
Lineage: Eukaryota; Viridiplantae; Streptophyta; Magnoliopsida; Fabales; Fabaceae
Description: Pisum sativum (pea) long non-coding RNA (PSAT_LNC037504)
Source: RNAcentral
UUAAACCCAUGAACUUUGAUUGAAUUGUGUGAAUGAUAAAAACGUUGAUGUUAAACCUAUGAAAUUUGGUUGAAUUGUGCGAAUAAUGAAAAUGUUGAUGUUAAACCUAUGAAAUUUGAUUCAAUUGUCUGAAUGGUGAAGAUGUUGUUGUUAAACCUAUGAAAUUUGAUUGAAUUGUGUGAAUGAUGAAAACGUUGAUGUUAAACCUAUGAAAUUUGAUUGAAUUGUGCGAAUAAUGAAAAAAAAGUUGUUAAACCUAUGAAAUUUGAUUGAAUUGUGUGAAUGAUGAAGAAAAUGUUGAUGUUAAACCUAUGAAAUUUGAUUGAAUUUGUGAAUGAUGAAAAUGUUGUUGUUAAACCCAUGAAAUUUGAUUGAAUUGUGUGAAUGAUGAAAAUGUUGUUGUUAAACCCAUGAAAUUUGAUUGAAUUGUGUGAAUGAUGAAAAUGUUGUUGUUAAACCCAUGAAAUUUGAUUGAAUUGUGUGAAUGAUGAAAAUGUUGUUGUUAAACCCAUGAAAUUUGAUUGAAUUGUGUGAAUGAUGAAAAUGUUGUUGUUAAACCCAUGAAAUUUGAUUGAAUUGUGUGAAUGAUGAAAAUGUUGUUGUUAAACCCAUGAAAUUUGAUUGAAUUGUGUGAAUGAUGAAAAUGUUGUUGUUAAACCCAUGAAAUUUGAUUGAAUUGUGUGAAUGAUGAAAAUGUUGUUGUUAAACCCAUGAAAUUUGAUUGAAUUGUGUGAAUGAUGAAAAUGUUGUUGUUAAACCCAUGAAAUUUGAUUGAAUUGUGUGAAUGAUGAAAAUGUUGUUGUUAAACCCAUGAAAUUUGAUUGAAUUGUGUGAAUGAUGAAAAUGUUGUUGUUAAACCCAUGAAAUUUGAUUGAAUUGUGUGAAUGAUGAAAAUGUUGUUGUUAAACCCAUGAAAUUUGAUUGAAUUGUGUGAAUGAUGAAAAUGUUGUUGUUAAACCCAUGAAAUUUGAUUGAAUUGUGUGAAUGAUGAAAAUGUUGUUGUUAAACCCAUGAAAUUUGAUUGAAUUGUGUGAAUGAUGAAAAUGUUGUUGUUAAACCCAUGAAAUUUGAUUGAAUUGUGUGAAUGAUGAAAAUGUUGUUGUUAAACCCAUGAAAUUUGAUUGAAUUGUGUGAAUGAUGAAAAUGUUGUUGUUAAACCCAUGAAAUUUGAUUGAAUUGUGUGAAUGAUGAAAAUGUUGUUGUUAAACCCAUGAAAUUUGAUUGAAUUGUGUGAAUGAUGAAAAUGUUGUUGUUAAACCCAUGAAAUUUGAUUGAAUUGUGUGAAUGAUGAAAAUGUUGUUGUUAAACCCAUGAAAUUUGAUUGAAUUGUGUGAAUGAUGAAAAUGUUGUUGUUAAACCCAUGAAAUUUGAUUGAAUUGUGUGAAUGAUGAAAAUGUUGUUGUUAAACCCAUGAAAUUUGAUUGAAUUGUGUGAAUGAUGAAAAUGUUGUUGUUAAACCCAUGAAAUUUGAUUGAAUUGUGUGAAUGAUGAAAAUGUUGUUGUUAAACCCAUGAAAUUUGAUUGAAUUGUGUGAAUGAUGAAAAUGUUGUUGUUAAACCCAUGAAAUUUGAUUGAAUUGUGUGAAUGAUGAAAAUGUUGUUGUUAAACCCAUGAAAUUUGAUUGAAUUGUGUGAAUGAUGAAAAUGUUGUUGUUAAACCCAUGAAAUUUGAUUGAAUUGUGUGAAUGAUGAAAAUGUUGUUGUUAAACCCAUGAAAUUUGAUUGAAUUGUGUGAAUGAUGAAAAUGUUGUUGUUAAACCCAUGAAAUUUGAUUGAAUUGUGUGAAUGAUGAAAAUGUUGUUGUUAAACCCAUGAAAUUUGAUUGAAUUGUGUGAAUGAUGAAAAUGUUGUUGUUAAACCCAUGAAAUUUGAUUGAAUUGUGUGAAUGAUGAAAAUGUUGUUGUUAAACCCAUGAAAUUUGAUUGAAUUGUGUGAAUGAUGAAAAUGUUGUUGUUAAACCCAUGAAAUUUGAUUGAAUUGUGUGAAUGAUGAAAAUGUUGUUGUUAAACCCAUGAAAUUUGAUUGAAUUGUGUGAAUGAUGAAAAUGUUGUUGUUAAACCCAUGAAAUUUGAUUGAAUUGUGUGAAUGAUGAAAAUGUUGUUGUUAAACCCAUGAAAUUUGAUUGAAUUGUGUGAAUGAUGAAAAUGUUGUUGUUAAACCCAUGAAAUUUGAUUGAAUUGUGUGAAUGAUGAAAAUGUUGUUGUUAAACCCAUGAAAUUUGAUUGAAUUGUGUGAAUGAUGAAAAUGUUGUUGUUAAACCCAUGAAAUUUGAUUGAAUUGUGUGAAUGAUGAAAAUGUUGUUGUUAAACCCAUGAAAUUUGAUUGAAUUGUGUGAAUGAUGAAAAUGUUGUUGUUAAACCCAUGAAAUUUGAUUGAAUUGUGUGAAUGAUGAAAAUGUUGUUGUUAAACCCAUGAAAUUUGAUUGAAUUGUGUGAAUGAUGAAAAUGUUGUUGUUAAACCCAUGAAAUUUGAUUGAAUUGUGUGAAUGAUGAAAAUGUUGUUGUUAAACCUAUGAAAUUUGAUUGAAUUGUGUGAAUGAUGAAAAUGUUGUUGUUAAACCCAUGAACUUUGAUUGUAUUGUGUGAAUGAUGAAAACGUUGAUGUUAAACCUAUGAAAUUUGGUUGAAUUGUGCGAAUGAUGAAGAAAACGUUGUUGUUAAACCUAAGAAAUUUGAUUGAAUUAUGCGAAUGAUGAAGAUGUUGUUCCUAAACCCUUGAAAUUUUAUUGAAUUGUGUGAAUGAUGAAGAUGUUGUUGUUAAACCUAUGAAAUUUGAUUGAAUUGUGUGAUGAUGAAAAUGUUGGUGUUAAACCCAUGAAAUUUGAAUGAAUUGUGUGAAUGAAGAAAACGUUGAUGUUAAACCUAUGAAAUUUGAUUGAAUCGUAUGAAUGAUGAAAAUGUUGUUAUUAAACCCAUGAAAUUUGAUUGAAUUUUGUGAAUGAUGCAAAUGUUGCUGUUAAACCCAUGAAAUUUGAUUGAUUUGUGUGAAUAAUGAAAAUGUUGUUGUAAAUUUAUGAAUUUUGAUUGAAUUGUGUGAAUGAUGAAAAUGUUGUUGUUAAACCCAUGAACUUUGAUUGAAUUNNNNNNNNNNNNNNNNNNNNNNNNNNNNNNNNNNUGUUAAACCUAUGAAAUUUGGUUCAAUUGUGUGAAUGAUGAAAAUGUUGUUGUUAAACCCAUGAACUUUGAUUGAAUUGUGUGAAUGAUGAAAACGUUGAUGUUAAACCUAUGAAAUUUGGUUGAAUUGUGCGAUUAAUGAAAAUGUUGUUGUUAAACCUAUGAAAUUUGGUUCAAUUGUGUGAAUGAUGAGAAUGUUGUUGUUAAACCCAUGAACUUUGAUUGAAUUGUGUGAAUGAUGAAAACAUUGAUGUUAAACCCAUGAAAUUUGGUUGAAUUGUGCGAAUGAUGAAAACGUUGUUAAACCUAUGAAAUUUGAUUGAAUUGUGUAAAUGAUGAAGAUGUUUUGUUAAACCUGUGCAAUUUGAUUGACUUGUGUGAUGAUGAAAAUGUAGUUGUUAAACCCAUGAAAUUUGAUUGAAUUGUGUGAAGGAUGAAAAUGUUGAUGUUAAACCUAUGAAAUUUGAUUGAAUUGUGUGAAUGAUGAAAAUGUUGAUGUUAAACCUAUGCAAUUUGAUUGAAUUUGUGAAUGAUGAAAAUGUUGUUGUUAAACCCAUGAAAUUUGAUUGAAUUGUGUGAAUGAUGAAAAUGUUGUUGUUAAACCCAUGAGAUUUGAUUGAAUUUUGUGAAUGAUGAAAAUGUUGUUGUUAAACCCAUGAAAUUUGAUUGAAUUGUGUGAUGAUGAAAAUGUUGUUGUUAAACCCAUGAACUUUGAUUGAAUUGUGUGAAUAAUGAAAAUGUUGUUGUUAAACCUAUGAUAUUUGAUUGAAUUGAGUGAAUGAUGAAAAUGUUGUUGUUAAACCCAUGAAAUUUGAUUGAAUUGUGUGAAUGAUGAAAACGUUGAUGUUAAACCUAUGAAAAUUGAAUGAAUUAUGCGUAUGAUGAAGAAAAUGUUGUUGUCAAACCUAUGAAAUUUGAUUGAAUUGUGUGAAUGAUGAAAAUGUUGUUGUUAAACCCAUGAAAUUUGAUUGAAUUUUGUGAAUGAUGAAAACGUUGUUGUUAAACCCAUGAAAUUUGAUUAAAUUGUGUGAAUAAUGAAAAUGUUGAUGUUAAACCUAUGAAAUUUGAUUCAAUUGUGUGAAUGAUGAAAAUGUUGUUGUUAAACCCAUGAAAUUUGAUUGAAUUGUGUGAAUGAUGAAAAUGUUGUUGUUAAACCCAUGAAAUUUGAUUGAAUUGUGUGAAUGAUGAAAAUGUUGUUGUUAAACCCAUGAAAUUUGAUUGAAUUGUGUGAAUGAUGAAAAUGUUGUUGUUAAACCCAUGAAAUUUGAUUGAAUUGUGUGAAUGAUGAAAAUGUUGUUGUUAAACCCAUGAAAUUUGAUUGAAUUGUGUGAAUGAUGAAAAUGUUGUUGUUAAACCCAUGAAAUUUGAUUGAAUUGUGUGAAUGAUGAAAAUGUUGUUGUUAAACCCAUGAAAUUUGAUUGAAUUGUGUGAAUGAUGAAAAUGUUGAUGUUAAACCCAUGAAAUUUGAUUGAAUUGUGUGAAUGAUGAAAAUGUUGUUGUUAAACCUACGAAAUUUGAUUGAAUUGUGCGAAUAAUGAAAAAAAUGUUGUUGUUAAACCUAUGAAAUUUGAUUGAAUUGUGUGAAUGAUGAAGAUGUUGUUGUUAAACCUAUGAAAUUUGAUUGAAUUGUGUGAAUGAUGAAAACGUUGAUGUUAAACCUACGAAAUUUGAUUGAAUUGUGCGAAUAAUGAAAAAAAUGUUGUUGUUAAACGUAUGAAAUUUGAUUGAAUUGUGUGACUGAUGAAGAUGUUGUUGUUAAACCUAUGCAAUUUGAUUGAAUUGUGUGAUGAUGAAAAUGUGGUUCUUAAACCCAUGAAAUUUGAUUGAAUUGUGUGAAUAAUGAAAAUGUUGUUGUUAAACCUAUGAAAUU